UCUUUUAGGUAAUAAUUAAAAGUCUAAUCUGCUCAAUGAUUAAUUAAAUAGCUGCAGUAUUUUGACUGUACAAAGGUAGCAUAAUAAAUAGUUUUAUAAUUUAAAGCUAGAAUGAAAGAUUAAAUAAAAUAAAAUCUUUAUUAAUAAUAUCAAUAAAAAUUUUUUUUUAGUAAAAAAACUGAAAUGAUUUAAAAAGACGAGAAGACCCUAUAGAUUUUUAUAAUUUAAAUUAAUAAAAUAUUAAUUUUUAAUUUGAAUUAUUUGAUUGGGGUGAUUAAAAAAUUUAAAUAACUUUUAUUAAAUUAAACAAUAAUUAUUGAAUAUUUGAUCUUAAAUUUUAAAUUAAAAGAUUAAAAUACCUUAGGGAUAACAGCGUAAUUAUAUUAAAUAGUUCAUAUUGAAAAUAUAGAUUGC
This 414-nucleotide ribosomal RNA is filed under the name Stethantyx sp. BIOUG01807-H08. RNAcentral describes it as "partial 16S ribosomal RNA". Lineage: Eukaryota; Metazoa; Arthropoda; Insecta; Hymenoptera; Ichneumonidae. The record is from RNAcentral.